UGGGCAACCUGCCCCUCUCUCUGGGAUAACCCCGGGAAACCGGAGCUAAUACCGGAUACUCCGGUCGAGCCGCAUGACUCGAUCGGGAAAGCUCCGACGGUCUGGGAUGGGCCCGCGGCCUAUCAGCUUGUUGGUGGGGUAACGGCCUACCAAGGCGACGACGGGUAGCUGGUCUGAGAGGACGACCAGCCACACUGGAACUGAGACACGGCCCAGACUCCUACGGGAG
This 229-nucleotide ribosomal RNA is filed under the name uncultured bacterium. Its description in RNAcentral is "partial 16S ribosomal RNA". It matches the Rfam family "Bacterial small subunit ribosomal RNA", at positions 118 to 347 of the family's 1533-position model. The record is from RNAcentral.